This 490-nucleotide ribosomal RNA is filed under the name uncultured bacterium. RNAcentral's name for it is "partial 16S ribosomal RNA". It matches the Rfam family "Bacterial small subunit ribosomal RNA", at positions 30 to 507 of the family's 1533-position model. The record is from RNAcentral.
AUUGAACGCUGGCGGCAGGCCUAACACAUGCAGGUCGAACGGUAACAGGAAACAGCUUGCUGUUUCGCUGACGAGUGGCGGACGGGUGAGUAAUGUCUGGGAAACUGCCUGAUGGAGGGGGAUAACUACUGGAAACGGUAGCUAAUACCGCAUAACGUCGCAAGACCAAAGAGGGGGACCUUCAGGCCUCUUGCCAUCGGAUGUGCCCAGAUGGGAUUAGCUAGUAGGUGGGGUAACGGCUCACCUAGGCGACGAUCCCUAGCUGGUCUGAGAGGAUGACCAGCCACACUGGAACUGAGACACGGUCCAGACUCCUACGGGAGGCAGCAGUGGGGAAUAUUGCACAAUGGGCGCAAGCCUGAUGCAGCCAUGCCGCGUGUAUGAAGAAGGCCUUCGGGUUGUAAAGUACUUUCAGCGGGGAGGAAGGGAGUAAAGUUAAUACCUUUACUCAUUGACGUUACCCGCAGAAGAAGCACCGGCUAACUCCGUG